AGAAGCAGGCAAGAUGGCCGCUUCGUAGACUGCACAUAUGUGCAUUCUACGGAGAGGAAAGUCCGAGCCCCAUAGGAUACAGUGCUCCGUAACACGGAGUGGGAGUAAUCCCAAGGAAAGUGCCACAGAAAAUAUACCGCCCGCCUGAGGUGGGUAAGGGUGAAAAGGUGGGUCCGCUGAUUAAGACGGAUUAAUGUAAGAGCCCACCGCUCUCUGAGUGAUUGGAGAGGCAUGGUAAACCCCACUGGGAGAAAGGCUAAAUAGGGAGGAAUAAGGCGAUCCGCUUUUUAAACCUCCGGGUAAGCCGCUUGAUUCCGAUGGUAACAUCGGAACUAGAUUAAUGGUCAUCAAAAACAGAACUCGGCUUAUAGCCUGCUUCUGACC
This 384-nucleotide RNase P RNA is filed under the name Arenicellales bacterium. RNAcentral describes it as "RNase P RNA component class A". It matches the Rfam family "Bacterial RNase P class A". Rfam says of the family: Ribonuclease P (RNase P) is a ubiquitous endoribonuclease, found in archaea, bacteria and eukarya as well as chloroplasts and mitochondria. Its best characterised activity is the generation of mature 5'-ends of tRNAs by cleaving the 5'-leader elements of precursor-tRNAs. The record is from RNAcentral. Lineage: Bacteria; Pseudomonadati; Pseudomonadota; Gammaproteobacteria; Arenicellales.